AUUGAACGCUGGCGGCAUGCCUUACACAUGCAAGUCGAACGGCAGCACGGGUGCUUGCACCUGGUGGCGAGUGGCGAACGGGUGAGUAAUAUAUCAGAACGUACCCAGAAGUGGGGGAUAACGUAGCGAAAGUUACGCUAAUACCGCAUACGAUCCACGGAUGAAAGUAGGGGACCUUCGGGCCUUAUGCUUGUGGAGCGGCCGAUAUCUGAUUAGCUAGUUGGUGAGGUAAAGGCUCACCAAGGCGACGAUCAGUAGCUGGUCUGAGAGGACGACCAGCCACACUGGAACUGAGACACGGUCCAGACUCCUACGGGAGGCAGCAGUGGGGAAUUUUGGACAAUGGGCGCAAGCCUGAUCCAGCAAUGCCGCGUGAGUGAAGAAGGCCUUCGGGUUGUAAAGCUCUUUUGUCAGGGAAGAAACGGCUGUGGCUAAUAUCCACGGCUAAUGACGGUACCUGAAGAAUAAGCACCGGCUAACUACGUGCCAGCCGCCGCCGUAA
Molecule: ribosomal RNA, 502 nt
Filed under: uncultured bacterium
Lineage: Bacteria
Description: partial 16S ribosomal RNA
Rfam family: Bacterial small subunit ribosomal RNA
Source: RNAcentral